This 490-nucleotide ribosomal RNA is filed under the name uncultured bacterium. RNAcentral's name for it is "bacterial SSU rRNA". It matches the Rfam family "Bacterial small subunit ribosomal RNA", at positions 28 to 526 of the family's 1533-position model. The record is from RNAcentral.
GAUGAACGCUGGCGGCGUGCCUAAUACAUGCAAGUCGAACGAGGUGCUUGAGUAGCAAUACAAGAGUAUCCUAGUGGCGAACGGGUGAGUAACGCGUGGAUGACCUGCCCCAAAGUGUGGGAUAACAGUCCGAAAGGAUUGCUAAUACCUCAUGUGGUUAUCGGAUUUAGAAACUGAUAACUAAAGCAGCAAUGCGCUUUGGGAGGGAUCUGCGUCCCAUCAGCUAGUUGGUGAGGUAACGGCUCACCAAGGCGACGACGGGUAGGGGACCUGAGAGGGUGGCCCCCCACAAUGGAACUGAAACACGGUCCAUACACCUACGGGUGGCAGCAGUAGGGAAUAUUGCUCAAUGGGCGAAAGCCUGAAGCAGCAACGCCGCGUGUGCGAUGAAGGCCUUCGGGUCGUAAAGCACUUUCUUACGAGAUGAGAAAGGACAGUAUCGUAGGAAUAAAGUCUCGGCGUAACUACGUGCCAGCAGCCGCGGUAAAGU